AGAAGCUUAGAUUAAUCAUAAACCAUGGGCCUUCAAAGCCCAAGAUAAGAGUGCAAAACUCUUAGCUUCUG
This 71-nucleotide transfer RNA is filed under the name Ateuchosaurus chinensis (Chinese short-limbed skink). RNAcentral describes it as "tRNA-Trp". It matches the Rfam family "tRNA". Rfam says of the family: Transfer RNA (tRNA) molecules are approximately 80 nucleotides in length. Their secondary structure includes four short double-helical elements and three loops (D, anti-codon, and T loops). The record is from RNAcentral. Lineage: Eukaryota; Metazoa; Chordata; Lepidosauria; Squamata; Scincidae.